AGGGCCGAGGGGGGUGUUAUUAGCGAGUCGACCCUGGCGGCUGCCACGACGGACCACACACAUCGUUGCAUCGCGAAGGGAGAAACGGCAACAGACGAGGAGAAAGGAAAGAAACAGGUCGACAGGAAGAAGCGAAAAGAAGGAAGGAAGAAAACGGGAAAAGAGGGAUACAGAAGAAGAAGAGAGACGAAGAUAAGAGAAAUCUUCUUUGCUCCACCGCCUUCGACGUCUCCACUGUCCGUUGCGUGUGCAUCAAUCGAACCUUCUUUCCUUCCUUCCUUCCUUUCUUCUCAAUCUUCCCUAUUUCCUUCCUUCCUUCUUCCAAUCGCUUUUCGAACGUUUCGUCGAAGCGCGAGCUACCAUUAUGCACUCUCUUCACGGACGCCCGUUACGUUUUAUGUCUUUAUCCCCGCGCUGUGUCGAUUGAGAUGAAAGCGCCGACGACCAGGGAUCUUCUAUGACUCUGCCCUGUUCGCUGCACCGGCACUCCGUAUUCUGGGAGACGCGUCUGUAAUUGUACAGGGAAUGGUCAUCGAUGCUCGAUAAUGGGACGCUCGCGAAACGCUCGAUGCGUUCCAACGCUUCAUUGCAAUUAUGAUUGCUCGUAUUUACGGGCUGGGUGUAGUGGUACAUUUUCACGCGACGAUAAACCGUGACAUUUAAUGCCAUGACACUAAACGUCAUGAUUUCCGAAGCAUCAAAUUUUUGUCAUCAUGGCGACUUCAUGGGUGGGAAAAGGGAUAAGAAAGAAACCUUGCCAGGAUUCGUAACAAAUGCGAAUACAGAAGCUUAGCUGGUAGGAAUGUUAAAACUAUACACGGAUAGGGUAUAAAGGAAUAUUAUAAAAGGUUCCAGCCUAAUUUGAAUCGCAUUCUCUUCGAGGUUGACGUUAAUCCUCGAUAACGGUAGCAACGACACUAGCUUUCGAAGUGUCCUCAAAUCGCCUCCGAGUGACAUCUUUUCAACUUCGACCGAUAAACCGGUUCACCGAUGUCCUCAAGUAUGGGUAAGCGAGUUCUUCUUUUUUUCACCACGUCCCGAAACAUCGGCGUGCAAUUAAAAUCGGGCUUAAGUCUGGUCGACUGACGUUAAUCCUCGAUAAUGGUGGCUAGGAGUAUGGUUGGCGAGAUCCCUUUUACUGCACUCGGAACAGAUAACGACGCUUCGUAACCCGUUGACGUUGUUUUCUCGUUGGGAAGUCAUACACGAUCCUCCUUGGAAAGUACGAUAUAACCGCGGAUGAACCUCGAAGACUUUAACGUUGAUCCGAUUUUAUACGGUGAACCGAGGACUUUCAUUUUCAGAAGCAAAUUCCUAAGGUCCUUUUUCUGGUUUUUGUUUGAAACCAAUGAAAAGGGGGUAACUAUGCGGUAUAGGGGAGCCAGCUUCGACGACCUUGACCUUGAUACAUAAAAGGGUAAACAGGGGAGGGAAUAUAUUCGAAAAAUCCGCGGAUCGAGGAGUUUCUCAUAUUUUCUUCCGUUCGUCAUCGCUGCAGAGGGUCUCACGCGAUACUUGGCGUAUACUUAUUGUUAGAACUCGCCCUCGUAGGAGCUCGCGUGUACAAACUCGCGCGUAUCGUAUUUCUCGCUACCCGGGGGGUGCUUGGGCCCUUUUAAUUCCGCGUGUAAGACAUUGUCCGCUUUAAUUACCUACUCUUCGUCGUCGAUGGUGGCCAACGGGCACGAAAGAGGCCGCGGAGCAGGAACGCAGGAUCUGCUCUUCUGUUCGUCUUUCUCGCGCUCCCUUUCCGCGCCGGCCUAAGAGAAUGGCAGAGAUUAUGUUGCGGCUUACACCGCGACGGGAUCCCUCCUUCUCUGGCGCAGACUUUAGCACGGAGAGGGAACAAAUUACUUAGUAAUACUGCUCGCCGAAAAUUUCGCGCCACCUGCGGUUUUGCGGUGGGUACCCAGCUCCGCGUACACGUCUCAGCGGUGUCGUACAAACGAACGCUCUGCGGUCGAGCCGUGUUACCUUUUCGAAGAGCCACGCAACACUGGCUAGCAAUCGCUUCUAAAAUUAAUCCCCAUAGGAUCGUGAAGGAUUCUUUCAAUUUAUUAAAUCUUCCAACGAUACGAUCUUCAUCCAGAGCCACCAUGUUAAUUCACAUCGUAAACCUCUUGUUCAUGGUGGUAGCAAUUGAAAUCUGUUCUUUUCUUGGAGACGUAUGGUAUCGUUGAAACGACGAUCCAUUAUGGUAAUGAAAAGACGUAGCAAGAAAGUUACUAAUGUGUUGCAUACACCUUGAACAGGGAUAUCCCCUCCCGUCAUUUGGACGUGGUCGUUAAUAUUCAACGGCGCGGUCGGUCCGCUGCUGUUUCCAUUGUAAAAGUCGCAUGCAGAGUGGAUCACGCGAAUCGUGUCUUCUGUUUGGUUGAUGACGGAAAAAAGUGGCGCAGGAAAAAGUUGAAUACCAUACGAAGGAUUAUGCUCUUACGACCUCAUUUUUCUUCCAACUGCAGCUGCCAAGUGCAGCUGCAUCGUUUAGGUCGUAAUCUUGUUUUCUUUUCAAAUCGCGAUAAGAUUUAACUUGGUCUAUUUAAAUCACAUCGAUAUCUUGAAUUAUUUUAAUUAAUACAAUUAACAAGUAAACGCGCAUAAUCGAGGGAAUCGGUUCUUUAUCAUCAUCCCCCGGCCAGUUUUAAAGGCGCGACGCGACGCCAGUCAAUUACGGCGUUAUUUCGUUUGGUAGUCUGAAAGGAUAGCGAGAAUUCGCAAUAAGGAGCGGGACACCGGCUCGCAUCGGCAGAGAUACGCCGCCGUAGCUUUUAUCCGACUUUAUCCCCGAAAGUUCGCCGGGGCCAUAAAGCGUGCGCGCGGUCCGAGUUAAAUCAAAUUCGUUCCGCGAAACGGUCCUCUCUGGGAAGCAUGCGUUCCACGCACGCAAACGAGAUUCCGCGGCGACAUUCCCAAUCAUUCUUCCGCGGCGUGUACCAUUCACGGGGGUUAUAAGGCCGCUUCUCCGUAUCACGAACGAACGAGAAGGGGCGCGAGGUACCGUGAAGCCGUGAGGAGAAGGGACGAAAAAGGAGCAAAUUUGAAGUAACAUCGAGGAGAAGAGAGAGAGGGUACCAGCCGGGGUGGAACAUAAAUUAUUAAACGCGCUUUUAACGAUUUUUCAAGCAACAAUUCUGAUUAACCGUGAAGGGACGGUUCGAUAAUUUGCGGUCACAUUUAAAUCACGCACGCGGUACCGAAAGGGGCAGCAGCUAAGUGCAUCGAGUUUUAUCGUUAUUACGAGCGUGAGAAGAAAUAAGAGAAAGAAAAAGAUCGAGGAGGUACGAGCUUUCGCUAUCGCCAGUCCAAUAAAUAUCAGCGGGGCCGAAACGAAGUAGGUGCCUAAUCCCUUAUAACUGCACUGACUUGGUAUCUGUACGGAAAGUAUUCGGCCAGAAAACUGCUCGAAGAAGAGCCGGAUAGUUUCGAAGAAAUACCCGGUGCACGGGGUCGCCGGUGUUGCGGACACAGGCAGAAAUGAUCGCGUGAAAAAAGAAUGUGCCAUCUUUGGAUCGGUUCGCGUGCGAACCGCGUACGCUUUAGGAUUCACUCGCGAGGGCAGAGAAUGAAGCAAGCGGAGGUCAGGCGCGUGACAUAUACACCGCAGGCCGGCGGUGGUCUGCCAAUGGUCCCGCAAUAUUUCAUAAUUAGCCGUGAUGCCCGUACGUCGUGAAUACACACGCUCGUGUUUAUCCGUGCGAGUACGCGGCCGUUCGAUCUCCGUUCCGCACACGUGGAACCCCUCGUGCCCUCCGUCAUGCUACGCCACGAUGUUGUGCCUACACAUCUCCGAUUAAAUGCCGUAUUAACUUCGGGGCCCUUCAUAUUUUAGGGCCGCGGGAGAACGUUCUCGCGGGGGAGGACGCGAGGGGAAGGUGUUUUCGGAGUAUGAGGGAGAAGUGGUGGAGAUUCUACGGAUACCCUGAAUGGAAACAUAAAUUCUAGUUUGACCCUCCUUUGAUCCUUUUUGCGGCAGAUUGAAUUAAAAAAUGUUAUAAUUGUAAUUGUUCCGUUUGUGUUAAUUUCAUCUAUGAUUAAUAGGUUCAACCUAGAAUGUAAAUUUCGAGUAGGGCUAUUCUGUUCGCGAAAAGGGGCUAAGACGUGGAGAAAAUAAAAAGAAUUCAGAGAAAUGAAGCGGCAAGUAGGAGGGGGGAAAAGGAGUCGAAAGAGUCGGAAGAAGCGAAAGAGAAAAAUAGCGAGGAGGGGAAGAAGCAUCUCACGUCUGGAGGUAUCGUCAAGUGAUUUACGCGCACGAAUGUGGCGUAGGUACGAUAAUUAAGCGAGGAGCCGCUCGGGCUCCGAUCGAGCCGGGGCAGCUUUUCACUCUUCUCCAUUCGGCCGCGUGGGCGGUCUCUCGGGGCCCCGUCCAGAUUUGACACGCGUAUCAUAACCCUUUCGACUUAGUUCUCUCGAUUGCUUGCGUGUGCGUGCAUCUACCUGUACGUGCCGCUUGCGGACUCGCGGAUUUCACCCAACAGCUGCGGGAACACCCUGGUGAACUUUGAGAGAGUCCGCUCAGACCUGGUGAGCGUUAUUAAGUUAUACGAGGAGCAAUUGUAUGGGAACAUAUCUACGCUUUUACGGUGUUAUUACGCGAUCACUUUGAAAUUCUGGUUGCUCUUUCGCCUGCAUUCGGAAACGAGCACGGUUUACGUUCCGUUUCGAUCAACGACGGUCCACGAUGUCUCGAGCUAAAAGCGAUUUGAUUAAAAGCACAGUCGGAAAGUAAAAUAUGAACACCAGUUUCAUCGUGAAAUUCGUGUUACAGGUUAACUGGAGUGGAACUUUGCAAGAUAAACGAGUGUGGCUCGGCGGCGAGAUCCUGAUUGAAAUUGGAUCAAACGGAACAAACAAUCGAUCCCGACGCCAUGCCAUUCUAUUUCGCGAACUUUUGUUCCUCGAUGCAUAGGUUUUUCGUUUUUCUUGUUUCCCAUUGUUGAAGUGAAAAAAAGGGGCCGCGUUGUAUUUAUGGGGAACGAUAGUUCGCCAGAUCCUGUUCCAUUUGCAAUUGGAUCAAGCAAGACAAACGUUCGAUUGGUUCGCGUGCUUUACGAGCACGUCAGCGAUCAGUGUCGCGUCACUGUUCAUCGUGUAACGCGCGGUAUAAUUCGAACUCGGCCAACCGAUGAAUCAAUGACGUUAUCCGGUGUCCACCUGCAUACAUACGUCCUCUUGAUAUUUGCAACGUUAAUGCCGAACUAGAUCGUGGCUAACGUUUGUUUUAGCAGGCUAACGUGGAAAGGGAGACGGAUGAACGAGGAGACGGUCAAGUGGGGUGGUCCGUGCGUCUAUGCAGUCGUUUUUGUAGCUAUCGACUAUGGCGGUUACCUCUCGGCCUGAUACACGGCCUAGGAAUUCGCGAAAUCCGAAUGCAACUGGCAAAUUGCUGUCCAAGAAUCCGACGGUGGAAUUCCAUUGAACGAAAUGCCAUCACCGUGUUCUUACCUGGACGCGAAGGAAUGGAACCCGGCUCCUGAUUUCGGCUCCUUUAGCCUUCCUCUGACAUGGGACAUACACUGAUCGUUCAAAGUUACAUCAACUUUCAUAAAAUGAUAGACUUAUUUCGGUAUUUUCCUAUCAAUUGAUCCGAUGAAUGGACGUUGUUGAAAGAAAGGAUCCACCGAUAAAUGGUGGUUUGCAACAAGAAGAUGAAACUACUUACCAGAGUGCCUGAAUAAAUACCUCUUAGGAUACUCUAAUGCCUUUUAGUUGAAGCGAUAAUACACGGCAUUUCGGUCUUUCUACCUCUCUCUUUCCACUUCGGCUUCCUCCCUUCUGCUUGGAACACUCGGUACCUUGACGGUAAAUCCUUGGUUCUCUUCAGAGUUGAGUGCUAUGGAGAGUUGUCUACGGAUUAGAGCUCUAUAAGGACUUGGUCAAAGUGGGCUCAAAGCAGGGGGCACUUGAAGAAUACACGCAAUGUUAAAGGGCGAUGAGAAAAAUAAGAAGAUAGAAGGGUGCUUCGAAUGAAAAUUUGUUGAAGGGAAGAAUUUUAGGAACAAAGAAACAGGGGAGAAAUAAACUUUCUCGUAUCCUUUAACAAGAUUUCUUUAUUAAAAUAAUUAAGCUUAAGAGCUGAAAUACAUAUGAAACUCUAAAUGUUUGAAAAAUGAAUCUCUGCUGUUACUAUCGGGCCACCUCGUACGUAGCAGAAACACGCUAGCUCGUGAUACGGUGUUAGCCAUUAAGGAAAUUCGUGCACGAUGCAGGACGGUGAUCAAAGCGUAAAGUGACCGAUACUGGCAAGCGGGGAAACGCGGUCGGUUUGCUGUUCAGCCUCUAUUUCAGCCAUGAUAUUUCAGUGGCGCGGCUGACAAAUGAGCGGCAAUUGCUACUUGGUACACCGUCGGUGCACGAGCAAGCCAGCAGCCAACAACUUUCUAUCGCGCAGCCAACCGCCGGCGAAGGCAAAUGAUUUACCCCGUAAUACCGAUAGCUUGUAUGAUCGAUUCGAGCAUUAAUGCUAGGCCCGAAUGCACGAUCGAGCAUUGGCGGUGCGCGACGACCGCCGAAUGUAUUUCGCUCGGCGUUACACGCCGGCAUCGAUGCCCGAUAGAAGAGAACCUCACCAGAGGCAUAAGCAGAAACGGGGAUUGAUGUUUGUACUCGUACACGCGUACCUCGCUGCAAGAAUCAUGUAUAUUUACGCAGCUUCCUACCGGUUGCUGGUCAGUUCGCUUCCAUGUCGAAUCGCAUGCAUGAAAGGUCGGCUAAUCCGCAACGAUCUGUGAUUUAUCGAGUCUCCCUCUUGCGAUUAACCAUGCCCGAUUCUGUUGCAUCCUAGGUGGAAACGCUUCUGAAUGUUUGAUGGCACUUCGAUCUGCGAUGCCACGGGUAAUGAACCGCUAAUGCAUUGCGCCCUGUACGUUCGGACUUGUAUCGAAUGUGGCUCUGACUUUAUUAGCCUGUAAAUUCAGUGAAGGCUUUAAAUUUCCGUGGAUCGGUUGUGGAUUUUCGGUUCGUUUGGUUAAAUCGACUUAGGGUACGUUAGGUGAUAUUAGGAGAAUUUAUCUAAAUUCAACCUGAAACGAUGGAAAAAUUCAUUAGCACUUGUAAUACCGUCUCGUAUUUCGCCUUGGUUGAAACGGAACUACGUUAUUGACGUAUUGCGGUAGCAAAACCGGUUACCUGGUCGCGGCUGGUCGGUCGGUCAGGUCACAAGUAAAAUUAUUCCCGUCAUUAAACUGACGUCCCGGCGCCCUGGAGAUGAGGGCGCAGCGUUUACCGGUUUUAUGAGUACUUGCGUUUUACUGGUUUAAUCUCUGCGGGUUCGCGAACUUGCUGCUUCCAGCUCGCGCGGAUACGUAUUCAACCGCCUACUUUUAGAUCCUCUAAUUCAUCCUGCUUGGGUUUCGUUUCUUGAAAUCUUCAUCGGCCUUCUAAUUGACCUGUUCCUUUCGUUCAUCAUUCCGUACGGGGUUCUUGAUUUAACCCUGAAUUAUUCUGCCAUAUUUGAUCCUCCUGUAUCGUAGAAACGAUGUGCUAUACUCGCGAGAGACUAUCAAAGGUUUCGUUUAUUUUCACUCCAUUUAAACGAAUAAGUUAAUGCUUAGACCGCUUCGAAAGUUGGCUGGAAAUAUUGUAAGGGACGUGAACCGUCGCUUUUGUAUCCGUCGUUUUCAUUUCUCCUCCGAUCCACAAUCCCGUGAUUGCACGACGGAAGCGUCUCCUCUUUCCAAACUUCCAACAUCCUGCUUCUUGCCAGUUUCAUACGCCCCGUGCCGUGCCAUCAAUCACAGGAAACAUUACGGCAUUCUCUGGACGAAGCGAAGUUAUUUUCCACGGAGAAUUCAUCGAAACGCAUUGGAUAAAGGAUGCGUCUCUAUCAGAGACGAACGAGCUUUUACUUCGAUUCAGUGGCGAAUCGUGGGUAAAGUUGGGGUCACCCAUCAAUUCCGUCGAAUUCCGUAUGGUUCGUCGUAAUAUACUCGAACGAGGACAACUUUAAAAGCAUCCGCGUCCUGGCACGAUCGUUAGACGGUUUUACGACAGGAUGCAACGUGGAUGCAUCAGGAGCAUAAUUUAAAAUUAAAACGUGAGACGAUCUCCUGUGAUAUAAAUAUCUGACGGAUAUGUUCAGUAAUUACGACCCGGAGGCUAAAUUAAGUACGAUUUCUUCGUGGUUGAUGGGGUGCACUGUUCUCACGGUUGCUCCUUUGAUUUCAAGACUUCGACACUUUCCUUCCCCCUAGGGGAGACAGAGACGGAAAAAGGGUGAAAGACGCGACUGAAGGGCGGACGAGGGACUUGCCCGCAUUGCCGGCUGCACUUUAACAGGCAAGAGCGGCUUUUAGAACAAUAGCACUUCGGGGUCUCGAGUGCGUUACCUAUUCUUCUGACCAGCAGGAUUAUUAUACGUCGAGAGAACGGGCCCCAUUGCCGGAUGCCGUAAAGUAGUUAGGAAAGAAGUACGAGCUGCUUUCGCGGGGAAAAAAGAAGCCGUGCGAAAUUAAAAUUACCUGCUGCAUAAAAGUGCAUCGAGUUUUCCAUUCGUUUGUAGCAUGUAGAUUAACGAGCGUAUGAUUUCAUCAUUGCCUAUUUGUAAACUCGUGAGAAAGCAAACGCGUCGCGGAAUGUUCGUUCACUGGAAGAAUACUCGGGCACAUUGAUUGCGGUUACGAGGAAGUGGACAGCUUGUAAUACGCUCGCGAGUCUCGGCCGCCUACGUCGAAACCGCAGCCGCGAAGCGGAUUGUCUCGCAAACCGCAUUCGAUACACCAAAGUUGACCGAUUCGGACGCGGUUCGCAUUUUUCACGCUCGUUCGUGUAGAAGAAAUGAUUUUUUUUAUGUCGUGUGAAACAGUAUCAAGUAUUAGAAUAUUGAAAUCUCAAUAAUUCAAGCGACAAUUUAAUAAUUAUGCAACGUAUCUAUUUCGUACAGAUAACACGAAGCACCGUGCAAUUGUCAUUAAUAAAAAGCUCAUCGUGUAACGAUCGCAAGAUCGAGAGACAGCAUUCGGAGAACAGGUUCCAGCGGGUCAGGAUCGGCAGUUAAGUUGUACACCGUCGAGUGUAACAUUUUGUACGACAUGUCGCUCGUUCUUGUUUCGUUCUUCGAUUUCGAUAAUUUCGAUAAUACUUUCCACGGGCCGGCCCGUUCGGUCCCUCUUGUCGGUGUCUGUAUAAUGCCCACGAUAGUGGAUGUGCUAACGAUCCGUUAAGUUCGACGGCUAAUUAGAUCAGCCGUCCGGAUGUAACUAAUACGAACGAGCGAAUGCAAAUGAUAGCUAACGAACGACUUCUCUCGACCGUUCUGGCCAACGACGAAACGGAAAUAAAAAGAAAAAAAAAAAAAGAAAAAAAGAGGGUUGGUUGAAGUUUUUUCGAUUACCGAUUGGAUUCGUGCGAUCACGGACCCGCGGUCAAAUGAACCUCGCAUUUCGAUUAGGUGCUUCGCGAGAGGUUUUAUGCAUGCAUUGUGGUCGGUGAGCACAGUCCUUGGUAAAAGUUUCUGCCCCUUCACGCUAUGUACGAUAUAAAUUCCAUAGAGAAUAUAAUCAAUGCAGGAUAGGGUAAAUUUUCGUACUAUGCGGUGCCCUAUACUUCAAAAAAUGAAUGUGACUGAAAAUUAAAAAAAAUUCUUUUCUCUUAAUUAUUCGGUUAUACCGAAUUCAUAGUGCCACUGAUGCAGUGAUAGAAAUGGAGUAACAGGCAAUUAAAAUUUGCAAGAGCCGCAACGAAGGUUUUUUGAGGAAUAGCGAUAAAUAACGAUGCAACAACCUGUUGCGAGGCAACGACGAAACUAAUUCGACAAACGAACCCUUACUUUGUCACGAUCUCCGCCGCUCUAAAUUACGUUGCUCCUGAUGCUUAUUGGUCUUAACUGGUUCGUUAUCUGGAAUCGAUCGAUUUAAAUGCUCCGUGCGAAUUGAUACGACCGUGCGGAUUGGCCGGCUUCGCGUAAUGAGUACAAUUAAAGCAGUUAUAAAGGUGGAUUGUAUUUUAGAUGUACGCGGCCCAACGAAAGUCAUUAUGUCCCGCUGUCUGACAGCUACAUAUGUAUAAAUGCUCAAUUUGCGCGCCAGCGCGCGAAACAUUAAUCUUAUUAUUUUAAUUACAAAGGAUCGGGGUGGAGGGAGCAGGAGGGUUCCGUUCGGCGAUGCCUUAUAAAUAUAGAUGUCGACCGCAGGUUUUUGACCAUGUACAGUCCGCCAAAGUAGUUUCUCCAGUUCUUUCUUCCAUCCCUUUUACUCCUUCGGUACUUUUUUAUCACACCAAUGAUGAAUUUUCCACGUAUCGCUUUCAUUUGAAUCGGCCUGGUCGUUUUGAAAAUCGUGAUAGACAAGAUACUUGACAGAGAAAUUAAAAAUCUUUCUGAGUCAUACAGGAAGUCGGUUUCGUUCGAAUGACAUCGUAAAAACGAAAGCAAAGUAUCUCAUCGUCGAAUUAAGCAACUCGGCACGCAAGGGUUUCGCGAAUCGAAAACGAUAUCGUACGGAUAACAUCGAACGGCGGAGUUUCGAUCGAGGAAUUACGCGAACGAUAACCGGCAAUUAAUUCGGUGGGCCGUUCUGGCUGGCAUGCAACUCUUCAACGGUAACCGAUAAAUCUUACGUUGACACGGUGUUCCGCGGGCUGAAAGCAGCCUGGGUUCGUUAAUUUAUACCAAUCGCGAGGAACGCUCGUACAAAGAGGCCGUAAUAGCGUUCCGAGCUUAUUCCAUACGGAAUUUAUUUAUUACUAUCGGCGUUCCACGUGUUUCAAGUGCCGACAUUCGGCAUCGCUUUGCCCGCUUCCACCAGAUACAACGGGCGAACUCUUUCCGAGGUGCCAUAUUUGCUGCUUACUUUCUAAAUUCUUCCAAUAACGAGUCUCGACGGGUACACGUGUUUCGCGUAAAUAUAUCUUACGUGCAUAGGUAAUACCGUCGAUGCGAUCGAACCGUGGAAAUUCCUCCGCGAAAUAGGAAAUGUGGGUCGUUGGAUAGCCACCUGUACGAGAUGCAACUGUGAGAAAAUCAGGACGUUCGGAGAAUGUCGUCGAGGGUGGCUCUAAAGUGUUGGAGAAAUAAUCGCGAAACCUUCUUCGGUCACUGAUCACCCUCGGUUUUUAAUUAUCUCGCGAGAAGAAAGCGCAGGCUUUUAAUAUAUUCUAACGAACUAUUUUGGUCCGCGGUCGGUAAUUAAGAUUGAUGGCGAGUUCGAAUGCGUAAUUGCGCUGGACGGAGGCUUUCCUCUUUCCUUUUUUUUUUUUUCUUUCGCCGCAGCGCACUUCAUCAAUCAAAUAUCCUUUUUUAUUUCUCCUUUCCUUCGAGCUCUCACUCGACCGCUGGUGGUACGCAUUCCGAGCAAGCUUCACGCAUCUGCCAACGUGAACGGAGCCAGAUGGAUCGCAUUGUGAAUGCGCGAGGGCGUAGCAGCCCGCGCGAGUCCUUCCCGUACCGUCUCAUUGUGUCCGGGCAAAAAAUCGUCGAAUGGUAUAAAAGCGAAGCUUUCUGCUCGCGGAAUCCUCAGUCCAUCGGAUUAAGGAACAGAGCCACUCGAUGCAGCUCAUUCUAUUGUGCUUAUGAGUAUACAUCGGGAAGAACGACCGGCGGAUCGGUGGAAGCUUAAAUUUCAUUUCCUAAGAUUCUGAUCCUUUGCCAUCGUUUUUCACGAUUUCAGGAUCUCGAUGAUUCGAAGCGGGUAAGAAUCGGCCGCGAGUCCCGCGACGAAGCCACUUGCCACUGAUAUCAAAGUCGGCGUUCGUGCAUUGUCCGCAUUCGUCUAGGUUUGUUCGCGGCGUCUUUUAAAGCGUCUUAGCGGUCGCUCAAUAAAUUAGCAUUGUUCGAACAAGAGCGAGGAGGAGCAAGAGAGGAGACAAUUCUCGUGGCACACACCGCGGCGUUCCGCACCUGUUACCUUUUUUAGAGACACGCGGAGAGUAGAGAAGGAUAAGAAUGGAUGCCUUGACUCGCAAGAACAAGGGAAUAGAGAGGGAAGGAAAGGGUUCGUUGCUGGACCAAGCAACAGUCUCGAGCGGAAAGCUUCGCUAAACGCGGACGCGGCGAAUAUGCAACGGCGGUGACUUAAUCCGUAGUCUACCACGGGUUAAGCCAGUCCCGGAUACACAAUGCUGGCCACCCGGUUUCCGCUCUAGUUAGUGCGUAGAGCCCGUAAACAGAAUGACAACAUGAGCUCUAGACGCUGCAACCGAGUUCCUACUUGUUAGUCGUACAACGAGCACGAAAAAGAUUUCACCGCGGCACGACUCCCCUCUAAAGUGGCUCCGCUGAUUUGCUCGCCUUCUUCAACCAACCACUUUGUGAGAAUGAAAAUAACGUUUAUCUCUGAUGGUUCACGGGAUGAGCGGAUGGGAAAAAUUUUCCAACAAUUCUGAAAUAAUCGAACUCGGUUGAUUUUGCUUUUGCUUUUAUUUUCAGGCGCUCUUUUUUAUCGGAAAACCGAUGAGUUUUAGAUAUUUCAUUCAAUUCUGUUUUCCUAAAGGAACUCGGUUUUAUUUCAGAAUGUAGAUUAUCCUUAGGAGAGGGUAACACAGGUAUUUUCGGCGUCCGAUCAUAAGCUGUUAAACUCGGUAGGUGCAUGGCCGGCGCGUCUACCGAGGAUAAAUCACCAGAGGUUUACGCUGCAGUUUAUUGACGGCAUAGUCUCGAUGGCUUCUGAAUUUUACAUCGUGUUCCCUAAUGCGUUCCCUUGAUAGAGGUCUCGUUGUUUGCAGCCGCGCGUGUCAGCGGAGAAAUUAUGACGCCAAAUUCCAUUCCAAAAAACGUAUUAUUUUAAAAUCCGCAAAAUUACAUUGGACUUUUUUUCUAUCCAAAUUCGAUAAAUGAAAGUAUUUUUCUUAAAUUAAUAGAAGGUUAUAAAUUGAAUGCAUAUUUUUCACGGAUUACGACACAGUCCUAUACAUUUUCUCGUUUCACAGCGUUUGUGAAAAGUGAAAAAAAAAAAUAAAAAUAGAGAGGAAGAUUCGUCGUAACCAUGGCAUCGGAGUUGCAUAAAUAACGCUGAUUGUUCUCGGCGCCGAAAUUUUCGCUGGGAAAUCAAUAAUCGAAUAAUACCUGCAAACCGGGGAAAUUAGUUCUCCCGAAAUUUCAUGUAAUCUCGAGGGCUUGAGUUCUAAUAUGUAAAUCCUCUGACAUAACGGCCAGUUCGUUUUAGCGUGCUCCGAUUACCGCCCUUGCAGCCGGAUUUCGCGGGAGAACGUUUCCGUAUUAACCAUUCACGCGACAUUAGUACGAAUUAUCCUUUUUCCCUUGCUUAUCAACUGACCGGGAAUAAAUCGGCCUGCUGGUCUGUAUUAACUCAACUUGCCGCUUAAUAAAAGUCACGAGAGAUUAUAGCUGGCAAUCUGUACGUGGGAUCGUUAAUGGAUUGCGCAAUUAAUUCUUUUCGUUCCUUUCUGUUGGGCAAAGAACACGGGUGAUUACAAAAGUAGAUAUAUUUUUGCAGACGAUCGUCACGCGAUGCGGUUUUCCGUUCUCAUUGCACGCAUUUCCUUACAUGGCUGACCGCAAACCAUCCACAUCUACUGUGAGUGUACUUAUGUACGUUACCUUGACGUGGAAUUCUUUUAUCGUGUACGGGGAAUGUGUUAUCACUGCUACUGCAUGUUACAAUCAUAAUUGUUAAUGAUAUUGUUGCGGUAUGUUGAAGUUACGGUAGACUCUCGUGACUAAAAAUUAUAAACAGCUCUAUUUCGUAAGGUAACUUUUCUUGUUUUACACUUAUUUAAUUACUGUGUCAAAUAUUGGCGAUUUCUUGAAGGCUCUCAGGCAGAAACAUACCGAGUCAUCGCGUGUUCGAAUAUCAGUUCGGAAUAUCUUCGAAGUCGGCCUAUUUGGCAAUGUAUCUCGCUGGCGUUCCCGAGAAGACCUCUUUUCCGUUUUCCGUUCGCGGCACAAGAGAUCGCUAGUCGUCGAGAGAAAAUGCGCUUUCCUGUCGAGUUUUUACAUUUGAAUGAAGCCAAAAGGAGAGAAGAGGAGAAAGAAGGGAUCCCGGCCGUGUUUCGAAUUCGUUGGCGCGAACUACCGUCAACGCGUUCCUUCCUUCUUUCGCCCCCUUUUUCUCCCAAUUUUCACCCCCGAGAGACCGCCGCAGUAGUCGUUGAUUUAUUUAUUUCCUCGUGUUUCGCGUUGUCGUCUCGCCUCGUUCUUCUUCUUCAUCGCCGUCUCGUUGUUGUUUCCCUUCACCCAUUUCGUUCGAUUUCCUCCGUUCCGACGUCUUUGUCGUCGUUUGACGACAUUCGAGGCUUCCUGACUUUGACGUCGCCCAGGAGCCGCCGAUUUCCGGCAAUUCACAUCGCCGGAGGACCAAGCUGAAGUGCAGUAUUCAAAGGUUUGACUUGUUCCUUCCUCGGGAACAAGUCUUCCUUCUUUUCCAGUUUGCUCGCCGUAGUAGCUUCUCUACUUCUUCUGUAUCUCCUUAUCUUUUUCUCUUCUUUUCGACGGUCGAUGGAGCGACGUCUGAAGUAACUUGUUCCAUUAUCGCCGCGCUAAGAGACUGUUAACAGAUGAAAGACAAACUACGUUGAAGGGAACAAGACGAGUGUGCUCGUUUGAUGGUCGUGGAUCUAAUUCAGUCGUCUCGAGACGGUCGCGAUUUUUCUUCGCGCAAGGAAUAUUUGCGGAUGCUUUUCGCGACGGGGCGUGCGUUACUUCUGUUCUAUUUGGAAUACUUUGCGAAGUGAACCCAUUAAUUUUCAAGUUUUUGAGAAACGAGCGCUAAUUUGAAACAACACGCGAAAUCGCACGCAUUGAUUUUCAAUCCUUCGCGAAAUUACAUUAAUUUCCAAUCCUUCGUUAAGCCUCGGUAAUUUUCAAUUCGUUUCAUACACGGAUAUACCGAGGAGAAAUGAAACUAUCGAUCAGGAGAAAUUCUGACGAGACGCAGGAAGAAUUCCUCGGCUGGUAAGCGCUCUCUUCCCUCUCGUCUAUCUCCCCUCCUCACUUUUGGGAUUGAAUUUUAACGUCGACAGAGUCGUCGAUUUCCGGAAACGAUCUUGGCAAAGAAUCGUGCCAAGCUGCAGUCUCGGAGGGAUCGAUCGUUAGCUUUGAUCUUAUUGCUUUACGUUCUCUGCUCCCUUUUGUACCCUCGUUCCGACGUUUCCUCUUCUCGGCAGCCCUGUCAGAAUUUUUACAACGAUUCAUACAAAUUGACUCCCUCUUUCUUCCGGUUAUCUUACACUUCUUUUCUUUCUGUCGAACAAAUUUUAAAUUACCAUUAAACCUUAGUUGGUAUCGUUGGACGAUACCUUCUCUCGCCACCGAUCGACCACAUCGCGCUACAAAGAAAAUAAUAGCCGUCAGGAUCGCGUUCGAAAGCGCAUUAAUCGCGGCUAAACACGACGCGUUACGUACGAUCUUUCUUGCUUCGGCCCGGUGGGGGCGAUUGGUGAUUUAAUAAGGCUAUAUUUUGUAUUGAUUCAUAAAUACAUCUUGCGUGAACGCGAGAGCGCCCGGCCACCAUUAAGCGAUUGAUCGCCGUGCAAUUUGUAAUCAAUAAAUCUGGAGAACGAUCCCAGCCAUGGCGCUGUACUUGGAUGUUCGUGAAGAAAACCGGAAUGAAAGAUUUUUCUAGGAAAAGAGCAUCAUCUGCUCGUUAUUUGCAAUGAUCGAAAUAGAAGUCUGAACAAGUUGGUGUAAUUUGAGGAAUUCAAGUUAAAUUUUACCUUCCCGUAUUGGAAUCGUUGGAUCGUUUAAUGUAAAUUAUUAUCAUUAUUUUUUCUCAUCACGUUCGACGUAUUUCAUUAUAUUCCAAAUAUCGUGCACACGAGAAUUUUGCCGAUGAAAGGUUCACGAGAUCCUGUAGACACGCACGGCAAUUUCGCAGGCUUGAUUUUACGAUGAAUACUUUAUCAGGGUGAGAUGCAACUCUAGCUCGGAGCGGAUAAUUUAUCGACGAUAAAGAAUGCAGAUGAAAAACACACAAAACUUCGUGUUGUUCGCGUAUUCUGUGUCAGAGUCACUCGACAACGGGAUCUAUCACCGUGAAACAUACUUAUUUUCUGUAAUACGCUUGUUCACACACGGCUACGCCCGUGUCUCUUGUUUGCUCGGAUAAGAUUGUGCCUUCUGGUUCGCUGAAAAUCUUGUUGAAAUGUAUUUUCUUGCAUCUCUUGUUUUUUUUUCCCCUCCCGUGCAACGAGACGUUCGCCGCGACAAAAUACAUACACGUAAUGAAAAAUUCUCUCGCUCGCAUUUUAUUUUUACCGAGAUUCGUUUGUGCAAGAACGACGUUGUUAACGAUGUUGCUUCACUGGAUGACGUAUUUUAAGUUGAAAACGAACGUAUCUUGAGAAACAUGCUCAGCUGCAGAUGUGGAACACGUCAAGCGCUGUAGAAUACUAAAAAUUCUCAAUGUUAAAAUCAUUUCUAAAACCGUGUACGGUGUAUCGAUGGCAUAAAUUUGGUACUCGUUAUCAGAUAAUACAAGCGGUCGAAACCAGGAACAUUAAUCGAGGGCAUAUAAUUAAACGUUCGUGUAAUCGUGCUCCGUAAUGGCACGGUUUCGUAUCAAUUCAGAUCUUCAUCGAGUAUCGGCGCAUGUGGUUAUUAAUAAAAUGUUUCAAUCUAAUCGAUAAUCCGUGGAUGGGAUGCGAGUAGCGCAAAGAGACCGUUGGAAAUCGUCGUUUCACGAGUGAACACGUCGAAGGUAUAGCUCGCUUUUCAUAGAUCGUACGGUAGAUUUUAAUAUCAGCCGAGCGUUGCACGAAGAAAUCCCAUGGAAUCGAUGAAAAAUCGUCUCGGUUAUGGCAGACGGUUCCAUACGUAGAGUCACGUGAACAACGGACACGAAGAGAGAAGACAGUGUUUGAGCGUUGUGCGCCAGUAACACAGCGUUCGCGUGUAGAAACCUAUAAGGACGCGCGUGUACGCCGAGUAAACACACAUCACUUCGGGGUCGACGUUCAGGGAUCGUGCACGGAACGAGUCGUGAGCAGCCUAGAGCCGACACGACGCUGGAAUUUCUCGACAAAUAGGCGAAUAUGCACAUAAAUACAUAACAAAGGCCCGUGACGGGUACCUCGAAUCGCAUAAGGACGCCGACGGACGAAAAGGAGACGACAACUAGGACGACGACAACGAAAGGGAAGAAGAAUAAAUGGUGGCGGAGGUGGAGAAGAAAGAGAGAACGGAACGGAAACCGGCCGUGAUUCCUCGAGAACGAAUGUCACGCGUGCUGUCAACCGCUUACACCAACUCGAUAUAACUCACUUUAUUACCAGGUACGUUGCCUGGAAAAUGAAUUAUUGAAAACGUGCCUCGAGACGCCGCGUUGGCGAGCAGAGAGCGUGCGUCUACGUAAGCCACUCGGCCGGCCAUUAGUAGCACGUUAAGCAGUUUGAUCGCUGGAUAUAGCCGCCCCGUGUACCGCCUAUGGCUUGGAAAUUAAGAGCGACAGGGCCUCGAUCGAAAUUAAUCCGUAAUCGUUGAAAGCAAGCCGGACAUGAAAUAUGCCAAGCCUUUCGCGGCGCGUUACACGAUAAUAGCGCCGCGAAUAAUCUCACCGCCAAUUAAUUAAGCUGGUCGUCGAAAUUCUAUUUCAUGAUAAAGAUCACCUUAAAGUGGUAAAUAAUUUUUAGUAGCAAAAGAGGUAAUUGUUGGUCGGUUACGAAAGAAAUUCCCAAACUUGACCCAUUUUUAGACGUCUCAGUGCGGUGUAAGGGUAAGAGAGAUAGAGAGGCUCAUUAUCGAUUGUUCUAGGUUACAAUCGGGGAACGUUGUUGAAGCCGCAGCCAAGAUCGAGGAGAAUGUCGUGGAUUCAGCGCGGUAUGACGAUCACGCCUGUAAUCAAUUGUACGCAUAGUCGCGGCCAUCGGUUUGCCCUAGCAUUUCGCAAUAUUCGCGUCUAUCCCAGUGGAUUCGUGUGUAUCCGCUCGUACAUGUGUCCUUGCUCAACUGUGUAUGCGCAGCAUGCGAAAAAUUAAUUCCGUACAUGAUUUGCAUAUACACCCUGUUAAGCAAUACCCUGCACCUAACGAACGCGACCGAGCGAGCCUUUACGAUGCGCGACUAGAUUAAAAAGCAAAUAUAAUUUUUCGCUGUUUAUAAGGGACCGCCCUUUAUUCGCUAGUUUACUAGCCGUUGCUUAUGCGAUCAACCUGUUUAAAAUAACCCCUGUAUUUAAAUAAUUAUUUCGAAUAUCUUGGAAGAAUAUUUUACGAUACUCGCAAUGAGCUUUUAACUAGCAAGAGCAAUAUUUGUCUCUAGCCGGAUGGGAGUAUGAAACCGCGAUUCACCGGACGUAUUACGCACGAUUAUGAUUAUUUUCUUGAAUGUAUAGCUGGCAGUGGCCGGGCCAUGUUAUUAAUACAGAGGAAAGCAUGGACACCCUGCUGUGGUCCUCACGAUACACCAUGGGCAAGGCCCUGACCUCGGGGCCUCACCAUCGCCAGGGUCUACCAGGCAAUGGUUCAUGGGUUCCUACAUGCGGCAUCACAUACGGUGAGAGCCGCACGAUUGUUUCUCAUUCUUCCUUUUCUAUUCGAUUUCGUGGACUGCCUUUGCUAUCAAAGCAAAACAUCAGGGUCUUUUUUUUUUCCCAAACGAAAUAUGAAUUUCAUAGAAUUUACUUCGGGGGUCAGCACCGUGCGAUUCUUCAAAUCGAAUCUAUAGGCAAUUAGAAGAAAUGGUAAAUUACAUAUUAUCUAUUAUUCGAAGCGUAACAUUGAAAACCCCCCGUUGUUAUGGUUACGGUUGAAAAAUCUUUGUUUGCACGAGGCUCGUACGUUUCGCGAUACUAAGUGUUUGCAGGAGUAAUUCUCGUUUUAAAGAGGCGACCGGAUGUUUGUUAUUUACCGGGCGGUCAGGUGCGAAUGUAGAUAAUCGUAAAUCGUGAGGGGAGCAGGGAGACACCGUUGUCUUAUCGACGUUGGAAGGAGUCGUUCCAGGUCGAAAGAACGAAGGACACGCGUAAGAGGAAGGGUUGCUAGGGGUAUGAUGAAAAUGAUAUAAGUUUACAUAGAGGUAGGUAUGUUAAUGUACAGCAUAAAUAAGGAGAGGGCAUUUGGUGCCUAAUAGGACGCUAAUUGUGAUUAUAUACAACACAGCCAGCUCGGAUGCAGCCUGAAUUUUAUAUACCUAUAUAACAUUUAUUGCCAGCCGUCCGGACCGGUCGAGCACGGACCAGCAAAAAUCCGCAACGCUUGGGAAUUUAUAGUAAUGAAAGGAUGGAGAUUUAUCGGGCGUUAUUGCUUUACAAAUGAUCCGAUAUCCUGGCCCGCUCUGCUGGUACUCAUAAUGGUUAAUUCGUGCAAGCAGGAUCUUUCGAAGCUUCGCCAUUACACGGAUCGAGGAUACGCGAGGAGAACGAGCUUUCUUCCAUUCUCGAGCGCGCGUUUAUUAAUCGCGAACCGGUAUAUAUAUGUAGUAUAUAUUUCUUUUUCUUCCUCUUGGUCGUUCGAAUUAAUCUCGACGAGCCACCAUUCCGUUGACGGGGAGAAUCAGUAACAUACGGAGAGAAUGAUUACUGAAUACCCUUUUCGAAGUUGUUGAACUUGUAACUUCUGUAUACGCGAUGAUGGUUCGCUAUUUGCUUUCGGAGAACAUUCGUACCUGGACGUUGAUGAAACUUUCUUCCUCUGUAAUUUGUAAUCUGACGAUGCUCGAUCUACUUGCUACUUCGGUUGAUGAAUUGAUUUAGAUGUCGGAUGGUGACGUAUUCGAUCCCAUUAGCAAUCAUUAGAUCCCGACCUGACCCAACUUCUCGGGUACAUGCACAUCCCUAGAUUUCUGAAGUACGUACUAACGCGUAUUCUAUUUAUCUUCCAAAAAUGUAAGGUGUAUUUUAAACAAGAUCGAAGGUAUUUGGCGUUCGCCGAACGAGUGGACACGAAUAAAUUGAAAUACGAUUGGCGCGAAUGCUGGUGGGAUAGGGAGAGAAGAAAGGGAGAAAGGUGUACGACCAAAUAACUCUCGGUGGGAUAGAAAAAGGAGCGACGGGAACCGGAGUCGGCAGUUUAUGCAGCCAUUACCACAGGUGAACGCCGCAAGCAAUACGUUGGGUUACGCUGAUUUAAAAGCACUCUUAGAUUCGGUCUACUCUCCUACCUUUCUUCUACUACGGUUACAAAAGAUCUCUCUGUAUUCUUCGCUGUUUCUUUUUCCCUUUGUUCUAUAUUGUUGAAAUGAAUCUUGUUCUUAGAACACAUAUCAACACUUGAUAUAUAUAUAAACAAUGUGCCUUUGACUAUAUUUUUUUGUGAUCGCUAUGAGCAUUUCGUAGCUAAAUCCGACAGCAACGUUUCAUUAAGAAACAGGGGAGGAAAAUGACAGAGGUACUCAAUUAUCCGUACAAUUUCCAUGGUUCCCUGGAGGUUACACGGACGAUGCAAUUUUUCUGAAAUUUUUAAGGUAAUCUGGAAAUUAGUCGAAAUAAAUUGUCCAGACUUUUCCUUUGUUUUUCGUCCACGCUCGCGAAGCAUUCGUUUUCACCGGGCGAUAUUUUCCACGAAGUAACGUUGAUUUUUCGAACUCUCCGCUCUGAUAAAUUCGCCAAGCUAGUGGCGUACCAUUGCGCAGAUAAGCUUUAUUACGUUUUUAAGGUGAAUGCACCGUGCACAGGGAAGAAUAUCAAUUUUUUCUUUCGAUGCCGGUUUAAAAGGUCAACCAACCACUCGCAUCGGCUCGCGCUAUUUGUAUUCGUGCCCGUUGCACUUGCAUACAACACAAGGGAACAUAUUGGAUCGACGGCCAGGCUGAUGUCGUCCAAUACUUGUUCUUUAUUGGAUGUAAGUGCAGCCAGCGUAAAUAAUCUUUUGUGCUCAUUUUAUUACUGCAUCCGCCGGCGUAUUUUUAUGCCCUGUUAUCUGGACCCAUGGUUUCUAGCGAUACGAAAGCGAAUAGGUUCCGUGCACCACGCUGAUAUCGUUGAUGCACGGUUAUGGAUUUAGGUUCGUCAACAAAAAAAAAAAAAAAAAAAGGCAAAUUCGAUGGCCGCUGGUUGGAAAUGUAGGUACACAUAGGAGAGAAAAAACGAAUCAAAGGUUUUUAUUGUACGAUGUUACGCGUGUCGAAUAAAAUUACACAGUUGUUUAGUUACUCGUAUUAAAUCAUCGAUGUUGUUACAAUUAUUUCAUCGAAAAUAUUGAGUACAGUUCGUUUAUGAAUUUUCAAAAUCAAUUUAACUCACCUGUUAUCGCUGUUGAACGGAAUCACAAAUCUAGUACGAUUAAAUAAAACAGGAAAUUUUAAAUGACCUUACUAUAUAACCGCGAUGGUCAAACUUUUAAGAAUAUUUAAUACCCUCUGUACCUAUAUUUUUCUGCCAACUUCGCCAAACAACCGGUACAAUUCGCUGUAUUUCGCGAGGAAAAAUGUUGCUCAGGUUGACGCGUAUAAUUAAACGUUCGCGUUAGUCUCUACGGUAGAUUUCCGUCAUUAUUCGUCCCGUGUAAUUAUACACUUUCCGCCAUCGUUCACAUAAACGGUCGAUUCUUUUUCUUCCGGGUAUGUCCCGGUCGUAUGCUGAUUUCCCCAGGAUACCAUUGUUCGGUUAAACGUGACGCUCCGACUCGCAACCGAAUUUAUGAACCUCUCGAACUUUUCAUCCGCGAUGUUCAGAAAAAAGAGAGACGACGGGAGAAAGAGAGGCGCCAUUCAAAGGACCGUUGAAUUAAAUUCCCCUUCCCGUAUAGAAAUACUCUAUUACCGGCGGAAAACGAUGGCACGGAAUUUCAUAUGACCCGUUCGCUUGACUGACUACCAAUAUCGGUACGUCUUCGACGUAUGGAUAAAACGCGAGGAAAACGAGAUAAGGGGGAUAAGCGUAAAACCGGGCGGGGGUAGAUACGACGUCUCCGUCGUAACGCAACGGGAUGAAACAAAAUAAGUGGAAGGAAGAGCGAUGGAAAGAAAAAAAGAAAAGGGAACGGUGACAAAGUAACCAGUUCCGACGAUAUUACUGGAAUUUUCAUAUUAAAUAUUUUUUAUUGAAAUGAAAGGAGAAAAGGAUUAUCGUAAAUAUCAUUGGCUAGAAGGAAGGGGAAUUUCUUAUCGCGGAUACAUUUACUUUUCCUGCGUAAGAACUACUUUGAUGCACUUAAUUAAGUCGUGACAUUUUGGUCUGGCAUUUUAGCAAAGGUCGCAAAGAAUUUUAAAUGAUAUCGGAACGGUUGUAGGUCGGAAAGAAACUUACGAAUAGAAAUUUUUCAUUUAGUUAACGUUACGAUCAACCUUCGCUGUUCUGGUCUAAGUAACUUAUAAACUGUUAGCGUUCUCCAGACAUUUUCAGCAGUGGCGCAAAUAAGUCGGGGAGCAGGGAAAAAUAGAGUCAUAUUUUUGGGGGCAGCUGUGUCUGCACCAUCUCCGCAGAGAUUCUAAUAAGAGCCGCAUAAAACUCAGAAAUUAAUGUCUUCUACCUAUCUCUUUCUCUUUUCCUCCAACACACUGUUUGUAACGUUUCAUCGUGCCACAGGGCACGCAGAAGUUCUUGCCACCUUUUUCACGCCGUACCCUUUUUUCUUUACCCUUUCGCACGAGAAACCGCCUGCGCUGACGUAAUCGGACCCUCGUUGAUCUAUAACGAAGGAAUAUCACGCUUUAACUGCCUUCUCAUAGUAUUAAAUUUGUUCCAGAUGAAUCGCGAUUUUUUCGCUUUCGCGAUACUUAAGGGUCUGACAGAUUGCUCUAUAAGAUUAUUCCUGGAGAAAUAUUAUCACGAACCCUAUUAUUAUUAAUCUGUAUAUUAAUGCGAUAAUGUAAAUUCCUUGGAUAGAGAUUUAUCGCAGCAUUGAGAAACUAUUGAGCAAACUUAUUUGCAUAAAUUUUUAUAGAGCAAGCAACGAUCGAUCAAUGAAAUUAAUUUUCAUAUCCGUGAUAAAUCUAAUUACAAAAACCUUGUGUUAUAUCUACAUAAGAUUAAGUGGACACGUGACAAUGUAGAUAACACGGUAGCUCGCGAUAUAAGUUUAGGAAAAAUAGUUGAAAACAGAGAACCGUAGGUUCCUCUGUACAAAGAAUAAUGUCGUUUUAAAGGAAUUCGUCGACACGACAGCUCGUGCUGUACAUUCGUACACUUUCCUUCAAUUUUUUGUCCGAUUUACAUUCGCAGUCUUUCAUGUUUCAUACAUAUUCAACGGGCACACACGGCUGCGGGUAUAAAAUCUAUUUCAGAAAUCGUUACACACCGUUCACAUUGCAUUUUCGCGUAUAAUUACAUAAGCCAGCUGCCAUAAUGAUAAAGGAGAUUGCAUUAUCGCUGGACUCCAGGCCAACAUUUCCAUCGAUCAAAUUCCUUCCGGCCCGUAAGCGAGGUUAUUUAACGGGAAAAUGUAAUAAAUUGUAGAAGCUGUCUCCCUUCCUCCUCUUUUGCCUCGUAACGACACUCGGGCAUCCAGUAAAGCGUUCGUUCGCGAUGCUUUCUCGCGGAAACCAGAAGAAUCAAGCGAAGAGCGAAAAAAAAAAAGGGAGGGUGGAUGACAUAUUUUUCCGGUCGGAUGGGAAAUCGGAAAACUAAUUUAUGCGAUCGACGAAGCCGGGCUUCUCGUGCCGCAUAAUGCUUGCUGCUCGAGUAUAAACAGUCUCCUGCUGCCGUGAAGUAUGAUUUAACUAUUGCUGUCAACGUGUCAUGCAUCGUUUGUCACGUUGAUUAAUUUACCUUUGCUCCGAUAUACCUUUCAUUGAUUUUCUUGCUCGCUUUCUACCCGAUAUACUUUCGAUAAUUAAUCAUUUCCUCUCCUACGGGUGACUAUUGUCGGCUACCUUCUGAUUCGACGGUUAAAUCUCUUCGAGGAAAACAGUUUCGUAGGAUGUUUCGAGGAAGCGGAUGAAUAUUUUCUAGCAACGUAAUUGAAUUUCGGUCUCGAUUACGUUGGCCGACUUCCCGCCAACGAAUGGUAGGUGGAACGAUUAGCAUUAACAGAAAGCCGGGAAAGUUUUCAUCGUUGUUAGUCGUUAGUUGGCGACAGUUGGGGAACAACGAUGCCAUCGUAUCGUGGAAUCGAAGAUAGCGGAGAUGGGUCAGCAGCCAGUCUAACUCCGCAUACAAAGGGACACCGCGUCCAGGUCGAAGUUACCAAACAACAGAGAAUAUUCUGUGCUUAGCAUCGAGCGAAGUGAAACAAACUUAUAAUUAGUUAUGGGAGCUUGUACCGAGAUUGAUGCUUGCAUUCGCAGCUGCGAGUUGCGCGAACCACGUAAUAUUCCGUACUUGCCAAGUUUACUGCAGAAAUUCUUGCAUCCCUUGCCCUUCGUGGAGGAUCCUCGAUGAUUUCGCAAAAAAAAUCAAUCUCUUCAUCUUCCUGUAUGAUUUCGAAUAAAUAACAAUUUGGUAGUAUUUUUGAAAGGGGUUGAAAGAUACUCGCGUAGAAUCCAGGAGGGUGUGUGUAAGUCAAGUCGAUAGGGUGAAGGGAAAGGGAUACUCACGGAGGUCCAUAAAAAAGCAUACGAGCGGGAUCGUAUGCAUUUUUAAGGGCACUAACCCUGUCGAUGGUUCUUACCGAGACUUACCGCUGAGACUUGGCUUUUUAUAGGCAGUCCCUUGCAUCCUGGAAAGGGCGCAUGAUUCGACAAGAGUUAGGUCAGUGGGUCGUGUUACAAGGGAAUCCGUAGAGAUCAGGGAACGUGGCUUCGACAUUUGCGAAUAACCUGGCGCGAUCAAUUGAUCGCCUCGUUCCAUUGUUAUAUCCUUUUUUUUUUAUUGGAAUAUAAAACAGAAAUAAUUCAAUGUUUUUACGUGCGGCCACCAAGCGGAGUUGUUCGCGUGACGCGAGCUCGAAGCGUUUUUGCGAAUCACCUCAUCGAAUAUUCGCUAUGAAUUUAUGAUCCCGGCGAUUAAAUUUGCUUCUUUAAUACGUCCUGCCUAUUCAUUCGCAAUAUUCCUCUAUAACUGGCAGUACGCAAAAGGUACAGUGUAGCGCAAAAAUAUUAUCGCGAGUGUACAUUCGCGUUCAACGGGUGCUUUAAUGAACAUUAAAAUUCGACGAGCAAACAUCGUCAUAUAAUUGCAUCCUGUUGCUUAGCUAAUGAAAGCAGAAAUCAUGAUGUCUUGCUAAUUAGAUUGAUCGGUUCGAUAACUUUAUCGAUUUGGAUUUUGCAUAACAACGAUAGAGGGAGAUAGAGAAAAUCUUUCUUCAUUCUCUGCAAGUUGAACAGAGAUUACUUUGAUAACCACUUUGGUGAUUGCUCGGGUAUUCAACGCGGAGCCAGCGAAUUAUUAAUUAAAAGAGCUUCCGGUACAAGUUACCCGGGAUCCUUUAAGUAAUUUCGUAAUUCGACCGUGGCGCAAAACGAGGAGGGAGUUAGAUGGUUUUAAUAUCGUAGCCGAAUAGAAAUUUCGCUGUUUCCAACUCGGCUACCUGUGACGACCACGCGUUAUCUGAUCAACGCGACGAGGAUUUUCUUUUUAAUAAUCAUCAGAUAAAAACUGGCGUGAUUCUUUCGAUCGCCCUCUUCUACUAGGAAAAUCGAUGACUAAUUAUCAAACUAAGAAGAUUAACGAUUAAAUCCAGCGCGAUACGAUGGAACUUCAUUAAUUACGUUCACGUGCUCGUUAAUUCUGAACGUCGAUCUCGUCGAAAACGUAGCCUAGAUUCAACGUUUCUAAUUUCGUGUCCAAUUAACGCGUUGCUUUCAUCAGAACCGUAUCUUAUAAAAUGAAAACGAGCCAUACAAUUUUCCACUUAACGUAAAAAUAGAGGAAGAAAAAAACUGUAGACCGACCUUGACAAUUUCUAACACGAGCAACCGUUCCAUUUGUCGAGCUUUCCCUGUUUCUUUUUUCCUCAUUCGAAUCGCGGUAGGCGAACGAGCUGUUAGGAGGUCAUGGCCCCUUGACCUAAUUAGGCAUUUUCCCUGAGGGUGUAGCACGGUUCAAGGAUAUUGCGCGGAUGUGUGCCCCGAGCUUUUCUUUACUUCGACGACAAGAUUCGUGGUGCUGGCUAAAUAUAACGUUUUAUUGCCUGGUGACGGUGGUGAUCUUGUUGCAUGGUGGCAGAUUGUUGCUUUCUGGAUGAACGAACGGUUAUGCAAACGUACAUGAUUGCUGUCUACGUCUACAGUAGAUAAAUACGAACGAGUUACGCUUUCCUCAGGUAUCCAUCUCGACGGUGUUUCAUUUCGAUAGACAAUAUAACGGCUGCGGUUUGCCCGGUUUGUCUACGCCAUUAAUACGCGCAACUUCGCCUCGGUUCACGCUGCUAUCCUUCAAGGAUCGGUUAUUUGCGAUGUCGAAACGAAAUACAAAUGCGUCUCGAGUAUAAUUCGCUUAAGGAAACCGAUGCAGUUGGCUUGCAUCUGAUACUCGAGCGAAUCGAGCGAUAUUUUCCCUAGGAAAGCACUACUUUGCUCGAUACUGUACAUGUACCGUAAGGGAUUUUGAACUUGUUAAUUUUGACUAUGUAAUCGGGCUCGUAAAUUGUUAUUCACACUACUCGGUUCGAAUCGAUGGUGGAGCGUGUCAUAAUUACGAUUCGGCACGAGCUCCAUUAGCUGUGUAUUAUUUUUGCAGAACGAAACGAUGGAUGGAGCGGACGCGGUGAUGGCGUUAACGGAACGAGCUAGCACGGGCUUUACGUAGUAAUUUAACGAUUUAAAUAACGUUGCCCUGUGCCGAGAGGCCGACGAGUCUGAAUUAAAAUUUAUCGUUCGUUCCCCGAGUCGCGGCGUUAUAAAUCUGAGCUUGAUCUGCUCUUAAGCUGUCGAAUCGUUUGAUGAAUCACACGGCGAUCCAGCCGUUCCGUUUAAAUAACGUUCGAAUCAAGACUGUGUCCCUCGUUCCUUUCAUCUUCUUUCUUUUUCCUAUUUUCUAUUUUCUUUACCAUCUGUCUCACUUUUUAUAGAUCUGUAGCACCGUUGUUCGACAUCAAUUGAUUCGCGAUUUACAAACGAGGCGGAUAGAAAUAAACGUCGGAAAUAUGAAACCAUUUUCUUUCAUUUCAAGAAAAUUGAUUUUAUGUGAAAGUCUAGGUGGCACCUUUUUCAUCGCCAAUUACCGAUAAUCUAAUUAGCUUUGGUAAUCGCUAAAUUUGAUCGCACAAAGAUUACAUUUCAGCUUGCAAAACGAUAUAUUAACGGGGGUUCAUUGCAGUAAAUCCACGACGAUAACUCGACUUAACCUUAACGGCUGUUCCCGCGAAGUGGCAUCGUUCUUCCUGUCCUUUCGAUGCUCGUUUACGACCUCACCGCCAUUUUAUUCGUUGGAAAACACUCGGGACCGAUAAAAAAGCCGUCGUAAAUCGAUGAUCACUAAUUUUCUUAGACGAUAUAUUAAGCCGAAUAAAAGAAAUUUCUACGAACGUUCGACGUUCCAUUACGAACUUCCGUUUCUUACACCUUGAUUUCCAUCGUUCUUUUUAUCGAUGUCGUUCGUUCCUCUUUAACUUCCUUUCAUUUUGCUUCAGCGUACGACCAUUGUCGUUACUGAGCUGGCUCGUUACAGCUCUCAUCAAACGGAAGGUUCGAGUAGCAUAAUAUCGUAUUAAUUACACAUCGAAUAGCUUGAAUUAAUUAAAAUCUAUCGUCUCUUCAAUCGUUGGGAAUUAUAGUUCCCAGAUUUCUUUUCCCUCUGUUAGCGUCUUUCAAACAGUAAUUCGUUUAAUUUUGGUCGAUGGAAAUAAAACGCGUGUAUGUUAAUUAAAUAAUACUAAAUUACUUCUGUCUCAGUCAAUAGUAGGGAUCGUGUAUUUUUGACGGGAAAGAAAUUAUCCAGAUAGAUAUAUUUAAUUUCAUAAUCUUCGAAGAUAAUGUUUAUUUUCAUGUCUAGAAUACAAUAUACACGAAUGUCUUCUAAUCGCAAAAAGGAAGCAGUUUAAAUCUGGAGGCGUGGGCGGGUGACAGGGUAUCACCGGUGUCAAACAAUCAGCUGGUUUCGUGUACCAGGUCGAAGCGUGGGUUAUCUCUAUCCUUCGGUGUGUCUCUGGCCGAAUCUUUAUCCUACGGAUCAUCCUCGAUCCCGUGGUUUUAGUACGCUGUAAAAGCUUCGCUUCCAUGACAUGCUUUAUAUCAGCGUCGCAAUCGUAUUUCAAACGCGGGGAUAGGACUGCCAUUCCCGUUGGCUGCUCGACGAUGCAGCUCCUUGCGAUUCUUCUCGUUUUUUUCACUCUCUGCUGAUCCAGGUAAGAAUACAACCAUGAUCGGUGAAUACCCCGCAGCUGGUACUGAAAUAUAUCAAAACGUUUAGUAGCGCGUGAAAUACAAAGUUUAUGAGAAACAUUCGAGGUUGAGUUAGAAAAUUUAAUUGUUUUUAAUAGAAAAUUGCUGCGAAUGUAAUUUUACGUUUUCAAAAUUUUCAAUAUUCUAGCUUCGCUAAGGAUACUAAGGGAAUAGUAUUGCAUGAGUAAUUUUCGCGUUAUCUCCGUUGUAAAACCUGGAAUUCCACGCAUGACUAAUGUGUUACGAACCUUUCGGAGGAAAGAGCAUCGACGCGUGCAGCAGCCACGUAAUGCAAUCAUAAAUUCUUCAGCAGUUCAGUAACGUGUAUCCCACGUUCUAUUACUAAUGUGCACACUGAGAGAAGAUUGGAAGCCGAGAUUCCACGAAGGGAAAACUGGCCUUAAAACGAUCAUCCGAAAUUCAUGAAUAUCUCUAUUCAUUUUGAGAGAUACUAUGUAACAUGAUGUAUGUUUAUUCGGGAAGUACAUCUACUGCGUUCCUUUGAAAUGGGAUUAAUAUUGUUUUAAGUUGUGUACUGUUUCUUCGCACACCGGUGAAGUGUGCCAGCUAAGGGUUAAUAAGAAAUUAAGAAUCUUUUUUUUAAUAACAUAAUCCCCUCGAUUAUAAUCAGGCAACAAGGUCUGUGCUUUUGUCUCUGAUUCACAGCUACCGAGGUUUCGGUGACUGCUUAAAAAGCAAUUUACCACCGUGAAAUCCAACACUGACUUAACUCGGACCCUUUUUAUGUCCGUUUCGUGGGUUUGUGAACGUUUGAUGCUCGAGACGUGUCGUGCAGUUCCCAUUCACGAACAGUGAAUUUCUUGUCUUCCUCCCUCUCGUUCAGUCGUUUCUCUAUACAAGAAUCGGUCGUCCACGUCGCGUUUCAGGUUCAUAAUUCCUGAAAAGUUCAUAACUUCCGAGAACUCAACGAAGGAAGGCGGUAAACGCCAGGGUGCAAACUUGGCGCCAUUAAUAUAGGGUCGACGCUCGUUUAUACGCGGCAGCGACGUAUUAGUUCCCGCAUAGAGAUAAUAACGCGAACCAUGUCAGCCACGCGAUAAAAUGUCCGCCACAGUGUCAUAUUUUCGGCCGUGUCUCGCGAAUUUCAACCAUGUGCCACCGCGUGAAACAGAUACGACACCACGCGUGUGUUUUAUCUGUUUCCUGACGCCUCUGAUUACUUUUUUCAUCGAACCUUGAGAUUCUUUAUUAAUAUAUAAUUAUUGUAUGAUUAAUUAUCAGAGGUUGAUGAAUUAACAAAACCGUAAGAAUUGUUUUUACUAAUUUAAAAGCAUUUGAUUCUAUUCGUAAGUAAAUACACGUCUUGCAUCUUUUUGCCACGUAGACGGCUGUCGUCGUGAAAGUCCUCCAAUACCACUGAAAUCCUCCCCGGGCGACGUAAAAUCGGCGUCGCCGUAAAUCCGAUCAACCGGACGCAGGUGAUCGCUAACUUAUUUUACGAUUGCCAUAAUAAAAGCGUCGGGAGACCGUCAGAGAUGCUUGCUGAACGGUAGGCGUUCCGACGUUUCGAAUCGCUUGUCUUUGCUUCGAUGCUUCUUUUAUCGUUUUGCUCGAUGUUCGUCGAUACUCGCGCGUAGGAUUAUACAAGUAAACGCGAGAGGAUAUACGAUGACAAUCUUGACGGAUGGGCGUAGGAUUUUUUUUUUUCUGAAACGGCGAGUCAGAUAAUAUUUAACAGAUAAAAUCACAGAUAAUAUUAAUAUUACAGUAGUCUCUCGUUAUAUUGCCGCGGUGAGGGUAAACAUUUUUUAAGCUUCCAAACUUUAAUUAACUAAUCAUUUACAAUUUUUACAUUUUCGUAAAUAUCAGGUACCCGCACAUCCCUACUGCACGCAAUUCUUCACCCUUUGCUUACGAAAAUCGAACGUUAACUCGAGUACCGCAGCUUCUCGAUUUUCCCGAUUGCUAGGGGCAUUGAUUUAUCGUGGCAAUCUUGGUAAAGCGAAACGUGGUUUCCAGUGCUCGCGAAGUAAACCGGCAUUUCGCAGUCGCGAGAUCAGUAACGAAGAAUAAUUGAAACGGCAGUAGGUGCGACCGAAGCAUUGGAAGCACAGAGAGCGUGUCUCUCUGCGAAAUCCCUGACGGUAUAUUUCGCUUCCUAACGAUUUUUCGAUAUCUCUAAGCGUUUUUAUUCGUCCGAACGAUGCAGCGAGGAUAACGCAUAGAUAUCCAGUGAAUUUUAUUUCUCUCGAACGAUACUAUCCGCCGAACAGAAAUUUAUGAAAACAUUUAUGAAGUCGUUGUCUGAGUCGAGCGAACGGUAAGCGAAGCAUGAAAACAAAACAAAACAAAACAAGGCGAGAUAUAUUCGUGACAACAACACGGCUUAACGUCCUAAUCCUUCGAUACGAAAGGACGGCUCUUCAGUUGCCUCGCACAAGGCCAACCGUGAACAUGUGUUUCGUUGACGAGAUUGUUUUCGUCGGCUAUUCGUUUCACGACGCGAUCCGUUCGUUUUCUGCCUGUGUCUCGUUGUUUGUUUCAACGCGUUUGUUAUCGCGGGUGGUUCUCGUCGAGUUUUGUUUCUCGAACCGUUACGACGACGUGCGUCGCGUAAAACUUGAUCGUUCGCCGCCGUGGAAUACGCUUCUCUCUUUUACGCGAGGAUAAAGUGUCCUGGUUUAUUCCUGUUGACCGGUCAGCGGCAUCCAUCUUGUUUUGUUCGGCGGCGAGAAGAUUCGCAAGUGAAGCCUGUUUUUGCCCGAUUUGAUAUGGAACGACCCAACGAUCGAUAGGUCGGAUCGACUGACGGCAGCCGUCUCGAUUCUCUGAGGAAACGGAUUUCAGGGGGAUGAGAAGGGUGGGACGAAAUUCGAAAUCUCCUCGGGCAGAUUGCCUCGGAGCGCAAAGUUCUCUUUAACUCCUUGCCGCACAAAGAACUGCGUUUGCCCGACGAAAGUGUCGCGAUGAAAAGUCGCGAAAAUGUCUAGAAUCAACGUGUUGCAGGGCAAUCGACCAGCUCCCGAUUCCUCGAGGCGUUUCAACAGGCUCGGACUAAUUCCGUCACGGUCAAUGGCUGCCAGUGUCGUAUCACCGUGGUUCGCGAGACUGGCCCUGACGGUGACAUGUGGCCAGGAGAAAAACAGAAAAUUUCUCUACUCAUCCGUGUGCAAAGAGAGAGAGGAAGAGAGGACGCCGAUCACUCAGAAAGCCGAAUGAAAUUGGCAUUUCAAUUGGACAAGACAAAAAUUGCAGUACGAUCGCCCCGACGGGGCGACGUACGGCAGUUAAAUCGCAGUAUCGUACCGACGCGUCAGUCGACGACAACAUCGAUCGUUUUCGACGUGAAGUCACGACGGAUUGUCGGCCAAUUUCGCGGAGACGCGUAUGUAUUACUGAUAGACCGCUGACAGUCGAUCCUCACCGAUUCUAAUUCGUUCUGCUUGUUUUCAAGAAGUCAUAACCGAAUGUUUAUGGUCCAAUUCAGGGUAUGGUUAAUGAAUACAGCUGUUAAUUAAAAAGGUAAGAAAUAUAACUUUAUUUAUCUUUUGUAUAAUACAUGGUCUCUGUGCGAAUUCGGUUGUGGUUUGUUGAUCGAAGUUACAAAGAAAUCUUAGUGUCUCUUCGUUUCGUCGUGGAGUAAGUCUAAAACGUGAUCCGUGCACAAAGAGCGUCACGGCACGCCUGUGUGCCCGAGCCUCAUUUAAAUAACAGAUAAUUGCCAGUCCUGUUAAUUGAAGCGCCGCGGGGAUCGUCGGAAGGGAGAGGCUAGAGAAGAGUUAGCCAAGAUUUUGCAGCGGUACACCACCCUCUCGUUUCCGUCUUCCGUUCCUUUCUCUCUCUCUCUCUCUCGUUACCUGUGUCUCCUUUCCUAUCCGAGAGUUAACGCGAGACCCGAUUUCCCGUCUGCCGAGCUACUGCAACAAAUAAAUCGCUUUUGUCAUUUGCACGCCACCCUCCACCCCCUUGUAUUUCACCCCUUUUCAGCCAGCCAACUGUUAGCGACGGUUACAGACUCGUCGAUGGAACGGUAAAAAGUUGAGCAGUUUCGCAGCAAAUCACGGCGGAGAGUUAAUCUGGCUAAUGGCAAUGUUCGUUGCGCAGAAAUUCGUAACGUAUCGUUAUCUUAGAAUUCCUUGCCCUUCGCUCCGGUUCCCUCCCGUUCCCUUGUUUCCUAUCCGGUCCUGCGUCGAAGGACAAAACAGGGGAGGAUCUCGUUUAAAUAACGGAUAAUUGGAAGUCUCCUUAAUUGAAGCUGUGCGCGGCGGAACAGUUAGCCGCGUUCCUCGUGACACGCCUUGCACCCGUUUCCUCCUUUAACCAGACGAAUCCCGUUGUUAACGUCAACCACAAAUCUGUGCGAGAAAGCCCGGCUAAGAAGAUGGAACAUUGUUUGGCGAAAGAAUUUCGAGAGCACCAGGUUCACUCUUUUGUAAGUUGAAAAGAAUUGUUGGUAGUUCGAUCUUUGUGUCUGAUUUUACGUUCUGCUUUAUCCCUUAAUUGUGAUUGUAUUAGAUCGUCAUUUGUUAAUCAAAAGGUACUAUAAAAAUUUAUGGAUUUUAUAAAUUUAGGAAUGAACAAUACCUGAAUUUCAUUUCGAAAAUAUUCAUCCAUGGUAGGGGCAAAAUUCUGAUAGGUAAUAGAACCAACGGAAAAGGAAACAACAGUGUAAGGAAAGUAGUGCAUGGAGCAGGUUAUCCUUUCCAGUUUCUGACGGCGCCAGCGUUUCCAUCGUUUUCCUCUCGGCGUCGUCGACGUCGAUGUCCUUAUACCCUUUUUCCUCGGCCAGCAUCGUCAACCGAACAAAUCAACCCCCUACCGUCGUCUUGAAGCAGAAGAGGGUUGACAGCAUAAACCUGGCUCCGGGAAGCACGACUCCGACAGCAGUUCCCGAACGCAUGAAUUUUUAAUAAAAUCACCCACGGAAGACGUCACCCCUUACAGGAGAUACCUUUUCGAUGCGGCUUCAAACCGCCCCCGCUUCUCUUAACCGAGACUAACCUGUCUUUCCCUUUUUGUCUAGCCGUCUCGUUCCUAUAACAUAUCUGCGAAAACUUCUUCAACCGUGUGCGACUUCCGUUUUCUUUCGAUUUAAUAGUCAGGAUCCUCGACACGCGUAAAUAGUACGGAUUGAAAACUCGUCCGGCCUGAAUCUAUCCACCGAGGGGUGGAAAUCGUCCGUCGCUUUAGGGGAAUGUUCCGGAUGAUACUUGGAGUGGAAUCCACGUUGGAAUACCUCGGUAACCUCGUCUAACCUCGCUGAUCUCCCCUUGCACACUUAGCGACCCUUGUCUUGGCUGGUCGAGGAUGAUCGAUUCUGUUAGCGUUCGGUGUUACUGCUGACAUCGCGUUAUCGCGGUUGGACAUCUGUCGAAGUCGAACAUUUUGUCUUUCCGAUUGUUUUGGAAAUUUUUCAUAUCGCAAUUUGUUAAUCAAUCGAGUGAUAAUUAAUUUUAAAUAUUCUGUAUAACCAUCGAUUGAUCUAAUAUGCCAAUAUUUCAAAUAUACAUUAAACAAUAAUUUUUCCGAAUGUCAACGUGCUUUCACCAUUUGUCUAGCAGUUUACUGUCACCAUGAAUCCUCGGGAACCGGAAACCGUGAAAAACUACCCAGACGAAAUGAGAAACGAACGAGUAUCGUCGCGUUGCAACAUCCAGUCAUCGAUCCUCCACGCAUCCUCGAGGCACAAUGGAGAGACUACGCAAUAAAUUCCGGCUAAAAAAGGAUCGGGAGGUAGGGUGGCCGAUUGAAACGGAGUAAUAGAGGAAAGAGUGGGUAUUGUCGAAAACUUAGGCAUCCACGUUCGUCCCAUAUGGCAUCGAAAUGACGCACCAGGGAGAGAACUGUCGAGGCAGCCGCCGCGUCGCGCGGCGAACUUCGCCGUCUGCGAAUUCACGUUUCUCUAAACCCCCUCGCCCCUUCAUCCAUCCCUCUUCCCUCUUAACCCUCGACUCGUGACGUGCAGCAUUGUGCGACACGCAUUGCCCUCUUCUCGCUAUUAACGCGCUCGUUCAGUCACGAGUGGGCCGUCGUUCCUUUUGAAUGAUUGAGAGCUAAGACAACGCGACAGAUUUCGCGAGUGAAGGACUCGAAGGAUUGGUCCUCGUGCAACUCGCUUCAACUCGCUCUAACGAGACUCUUUCGUUGAUAAAUCCUCGUGAUGGGACUUGAAACUGCAAUAGUGUUAUUCAAUCGUAUUUUAACGCGCAGGACGUGUGGAUAUAUUGUUCAUUCGUUGGUAGCCACUUAACACCUUUACUUAUUUUAAUUAUUUAAAGUUUUAUUAUUUAUAAUUAUUGCCCAAAUCCUUAAUUUUCCAAAUCCAAAUAGUGUGAAAUGCGAACUUAAAUUAAAAUUGAGGUUCUCUCCAUGGUCCGUCGUCCGAGGGUUAAAGGAGGUAAUAAUCGUCAGUGACGAGCAAUAAAUAUAGCUUUAACUUAGAUCAACUGGUGACGAUUAAAAAGUCCAUUUCCUUAAGAAUUAACUUGAACCAUUAGGCGAGAUUGACGGAUAGUUUCUUAUUAUUUCUUUUCCUCUUCUUUGGCUGAACUAAAACGAAGAGGAGAAUAAAGGAAAAGAAGAGUUGCGCUACGAGUCCGCUCUGCUCACUCGACGAUUCAUGGACUCAGCGCGAUCUCAUCUUAAAGAUUACAUCUGAGCGGACUGUAAGGAACUGGGGAUCUCUUUUUCCUGCUGCUCGCGACUGUUCCACCAUUCCUGCUACCCUUUACGAUAUCGUUCAGCCCGCCCCCGUGUUUUCUCCCCAGGAAGAAAGGGAACUUCGAACUGCUCUUUGAUGACGAUGCGUCGCCGACUCCGUGCCCGUAGCUUUAUUUUAUAGGCGUCUUCUUGCCGAUCCAGAUAUUGAUUGAGAUUCGCGAAACUUGCCGAAAGGACCAUCCCCCUCGAAUCGCUGAAACGAAAUCUAUUCGAGGCAGGGUGGCCUCCCGCUUGGUAUUCCAACAACGUUCCAAGUGGUUCAUCCGCGAUCGUGGAUUUGUUCGAGCCGAAUGCUAUUCUAUCGGGGAUAGAGACCAAAAGCUCGUUGUCAGGAAAACAAUGAUCUUUAUCUUAUAUAUAAUUUAGCUUCCUUGUUAUCGAAAGGGGGAUAGGAACGCAGCUAUGUGAACGAUGCGUUUGUGAAUCUCUGAGUCUGCUGCAAUCAGAAUCAAAGAUUUAAAGCCAUUUAAUUUUUAAGAAAAUAAAAAUUAUUGGUCCGUGAUUUUGUAAGAUUCAACUCCUCUGUUUAAAGAUUAAGAAUCAUCAGAAUAGCGUUCUGGUGACUUUAAGAAAAUGACCCACUUCGAAUGCCAUUCAAGGCAUUGGAUUACAAGCGAAAUGUUACCAAGUAAGUGACAAUGAUUUCGUUGAGACACAAGGGAAUCGUGUCAAUUAUAUUCGACGUGUACGUACUACUUUCUUGCUGGUUGCAGAGAUGAUGCUCGCCAAUCAGAAUCGUUUGUAAGCGAAGGACCUGAAGGUGCUUCCAAUUACACGAAACGUCACGGUUGAGUCAAGAGAUCGGGGUCACGUCAUUCCAAGCAGACUUCUCUCUUCUCGCUGCACCCGCGUUUGGUUCACGCUACUUCUCCAUUUUUCUCUUAGUUCGUGUCACUGAUCGCCUUAUCUAAACUGGUUUUAGCCGAGUGCACGAGCGAUACCGUAAAAUUGAAGAGUGUGUAAUUCGAGUUAUUGCUAGAUUCGAUUUGCUAUAAACGAUACAAUGGGUACUAGAACUGUUAAACGAAAUGUUAUGAAAAAUUUAGUUAAUAAUCGAGCAGAAGAACGCGAGUGAUCCUCGAAGAAGCGUUUCGUAACGAUUUUAAAGCAGGUGAACCAGUUAAUUUCUGAACGCUCCGAACCGUCAAACGCGAUUACGUUGCAACCCCCUGCUUUUCUCACCCUCCUUCCCCGUUCUUCCUUCUCACAGCCGAAUAUUGUAGCAAGAUAAAAACUGAAUGCUCCUCCACGGGGCCUGGAUGUCAAAGAUACGGGCCAUAAUUGGGAGGACUAUUCAGUUCUAAAUCGUGGAACACACACGACUUUGUGAUUGACGCGCGUUGUACCUUUUGCAGCCGAUAAAAAGCAUUGUUAACGAUGCAGCAAUUUCAUGGAUAAAUUAACGAGCGCUGUAGCACACGAACACAGCUCAAUGGAAGGAUAUUUUCCAUCGCGAAAGGGAAAAUUUUAAUUUCCUGCGUUCCUCGGAGUCUCGGCAUUAUUUCGAGCAUAAUUACGCGAAAAAGAAAUCAAGUAGGAGAUAAUCGAGGCUAUUAUAAUAGUAAUUAGGAAUUCGUAUAUCAAACAAUGAGCUUCCCAUUUCUGGUUAAUAUUUUGUACGUGUAACAAAUUUUAGAUUAAGUAGGUAUAAUUUAAGCUCCACUUCUAAAAACUGUAUUUUAGGAAGAAAAGAAGGAAUUGUGGUUUCAUUGUUAAAUUCAGAGAUUCGAAGCUUGCGAAUGAAGGGACAAUGAUAUUUUGAAAUCGUAUUGCGGUCUGUGCUCGGUCGUUUGCGUAAUUAUAACCGAAUAAGCCAAUAACACUUGGAAUAAUAACGAUCGGGAAUUAAAAUUUGAAAACCAAUUUAUUCGUUGUGGCUUGAAAUUAUUACCGCGUUAAUUGAAGGACUAAUGAAUUCUGUACGAUCACAAUUACAUUUCGUUGCCCAUGAUUGCCGACUGGACUCGUUUAUUUGUCAAAUUGCACCCCGAUAUUGUCUGGCGAACAGCGAGGAGCCUGGUUAAACAGUAAGUAUUUAUCAACUGGGCGCGAUAAGUUUCUGUUUAAACAAAAUACAGAUCAAUAUUCGCUCUGUUGCUUUACGAUUCAUAAGAAUCAUUUUAAUAUGAAUAAUGUGGAAGAAAUAUAAAAUAUAGAAACUAGAAUAAGAUGAAAUAUUUUUCACACUAGUUACACACUGAAAAGCAAAUGAAUGUUGAAGUUACAUUAACAGUAUCCAAUUAAACACGGAAACAUUUUGUAGUGUUGAUAUAUCAAUGUAGUUCGAUUUAACUUCUGCAAAAGUAUGUCUUCGACGUUUUCCGUAUUUGUGAUUGGUAAGGAAAGGUGCGUAAAAAGGUACGGAGAAAUUGCAUUCGACGUAUCGAGUUUGAUUCAUAGUUGGCGCGAGCAAAUCCAAAAAAUUACUUGCCAUGGCUCGUAUUUCGCGGCCAAGUUCCGUGAAAGUUGUAACCAAGUUGUAAAUGGUCUGUCGUAGGAAAAGUUCGAGGUGGAUGGUAAUGUAACGAAUGCAAUUUCGUUUUAUACCGACAAAGUAGCCCGUAAGUCAAGAAAUUCCUUGCUACUUCCAAACAGUUUCUCGAUCUUAUCCCAAGGAUAUUUAAAAUAUGAAAUUUGUUACGUUUAUCAAGUGCGUAAACCAUUUAAGAAAUAAUAACGCCAUUGUCAAACAAUAAAUCACUACACUGAAGCUUACUUUGGUAGGGUUUUAACUAGAGAAACCUAUAUGAUGAAAAGUUAUGCGUAGUCUUACAUCUGUGAAACCUUUACAUUUCGAUUGUACAUCCCUUACAUCUCUGCACCUCUUACAUCCUUGUAAUACUUAUAUCCCUGCAUCGCUUACAUCUCAGCAUUCCUAACAUCCCUGCAUUCCUUACAUCUCUACAUCCUCUACGUUUCUACAGAUCUCAUAUCUCUGUAUCCCAUACAUAUCUGCGUCUCUUACAUCUCCACAUUCCUACAUUCCUUACAUUUGUUCAUCCCUUACAUCCCAACAUUGUUUUCAUCCCUACAUUUCUUACAUCUCAGCAUCACUUACAUCCCUGCAUUCAUUUCAUCCCUAUAUUCUUUUCAUCCCCACAUUCCUUUUAUACCUCCAUUCCUUUCGUCCUAUAUUCCUUUCAUCCCUACAUUUCUUACAUCUCUUCAUCCCUUACAUCACUGCAUCACUUACAUCCCUGCAUUCAUUUCAUCCCUCCAUUCUUCUCAUCCCUGCAUUCCUUUCAUCCCUACAUUCAUUUCGUCCCUAUAUUCUUUUCAUCCCCACAUCCUUCUCAUACGUCUAUUCCUUUCGUCCUAUAUUCCUUCCACCCCUACAUUCAUUUCAUCUCUACAUUCAUUUCAUCCCUACAUUCAUUUCAUCCCUAUAUUCUUUUUAUCCCCACAUCCUUCUCAUACCUCCAU
Long non-coding RNA from Osmia lignaria (orchard mason bee), 38128 nucleotides. RefSeq lists it as uncharacterized. The record is from RefSeq and is a predicted model, not a curated record. NCBI's taxonomy places the organism in Eukaryota, Metazoa, Arthropoda, Insecta, Hymenoptera, Megachilidae.